UUGUGGUGUGGGAAAGUUCAUCCUGCUCAAACCAGGAAAAGUUUGUUAAGGGAGAAACUAUCAAUUGUGCGAUUCGCAUGCCACGUUC
This 88-nucleotide transfer RNA is filed under the name Alphaproteobacteria bacterium MarineAlpha3_Bin6. RNAcentral's name for it is "tRNA-Leu". The record is from RNAcentral. Lineage: Bacteria; Pseudomonadati; Pseudomonadota; Alphaproteobacteria.